CAGUUUCUUCCUGUUCUGCUUAUACUGCUGCUCAAUUUUCUACCUUCUUCACAACCGGUUUAUUCGCUCUCGGCCUCUUACCCUUACAAGUACAAGUUCACGACGAAUAGGGGUGUCAAUUACUUUGUGAGAUCAUCCAAGUUCGAGCAGGAUUACCCGCUUAAUAGCCCCGAGCGGCAGAGGGUAGAAGCACAAGUUAAUCGAGAUUAUUACUCUAUAGUGUCUCAGAACUGUCGGUAUGAGUUGCAGAGGCAACAAUGGGGUUUGAUCCAUGAAAAACCGCACUGUGACAUGUUGCGGAAGUUCGAGUCAGCUGCCUAUUAAACCAAGAUUGGCGAACCUACCAAGUCAAUGAAUGAACCUGCAAGAAGCUCGGUUGUAGAUCGAUGACAGAAACAUACAUGGAGGAUGCCCGAUGCAUAGGAGCCAUUUGGUAACACAGUUCAAGCUUUUUGCUGAUUGCUACAUUAACUGUUUGAUCUAUACACCUACCUUAUAUGAAAGUCUUCUUCCUCCCCCUCCAAGCCAUAUCUUUAAUACUGUUCUUAUUAUUAAUAACCUCCGGAGGUAUUCAUGUUUAGUACAAAAUCACAACAGUUAUUGUUUUUCGGCACUAUACAAGUGAGCGUCUCAUGGUCUUGUUCAAAACGAAGAAUGUAGAAUGUUGAAAACUUUGUUUCUCUA
Long non-coding RNA from Tarenaya hassleriana, 684 nucleotides. RefSeq lists it as uncharacterized. The transcript has 2 exons. The record is from RefSeq and is a predicted model, not a curated record. Lineage: Eukaryota; Viridiplantae; Streptophyta; Magnoliopsida; Brassicales; Cleomaceae.